This 496-nucleotide ribosomal RNA is filed under the name uncultured bacterium. RNAcentral describes it as "partial 16S ribosomal RNA". It matches the Rfam family "Bacterial small subunit ribosomal RNA", at positions 29 to 507 of the family's 1533-position model. The record is from RNAcentral.
AUGAACGCUGGCGGCGUGCCUCAUACAUGCAAGUCGCGCGAACAGACGAGGAGCUUGCUCCUCUGACGUUAGCGGCGGACGGGUGAGUAACACGUGGAUAACCUACCUAUAAGACUGGGAUAACUUCGGGAAACCGGAGCUAAUACCGGAUAAUAUAUUGAACCGCAUGGUUCAAUAGUGAAAGACGGUUUUGCUGUCACUUAUAGAUGGAUCCGCGCCGCAUUGGCUAGUUGGUAAGGUAACGGCUUACCAAGGCAACGAUGCGUAGCCGACCUGAGAGGGUGAUCGGCCACACUGGAACUGAGACACGGUCCAGACUCCUACGGGAGGCAGCAGUAGGGAAUCUUCCGCAAUGGGCGAAAGCCUGACGGAGCAACGCCGCGUGAGUGAUGAAGGUCUUCGGAUCGUAAAACUCUGUUAUUAGGGAAGAACAAAUGUGUAAGUAACUAUGCACGUCUUGACGGUACCUAAUCAGAAAGCCACGGCUAACUACGUG